AGGAUGAACGCUAGCGGCAGGCCUAAUACAUGCAAGUCGUACGGCAACACAGUUGCGAGCAAUCGCAACCGGUGGCGAGUGGCGCACGGGUGAGUAACGCGUAUGUAACCUACCCUUCUCCGGGACAUAACUCCGCGAAAGCGGUGCUAAUAUCCCAUACCAACUCAUCAAGACAUCUUCUUGAGUUGAAAGCAGCAAUGCGGUGAAGGAUGGGCAUGCGUCCCAUUAGCUGGUUGGUGAGGUAAUGGCCCACCAAGGCUACGAUGGGUAGGGGUUCUGAGAGGAAAGCCCCCCACACUGGUACUGAGACACGGACCAGACUCCUACGGGAGGCAGCAGUAAGGAAUAUUGGUCAAUGGGCGGAAGCCUGAACCAGCCAUGCCGCGUGCAGGAAGGAGGCCCUACGGGUUGUAAACUGCUUUUACCCGGGAAGAAACCCGCCCCCUGUGGGGGGCGUUGCCGGUACCGGGGGAAAAAGGAUCGGCUAACUCCGUG
RNAcentral lists this ribosomal RNA (495 nucleotides) under uncultured bacterium. Its description in RNAcentral is "bacterial SSU rRNA". It matches the Rfam family "Bacterial small subunit ribosomal RNA", at positions 26 to 507 of the family's 1533-position model. The record is from RNAcentral.